GUCGACAGACACAGAUGUUUCCUUUUCUUCAUACAAUGAAGAUCAGGCUAAAGAGGCACCAUUCACCCCCAUUGGAAUGGCAGGUUUUGUAGCAAUUGUUGCAUAUGGACUACACAAAUUGAAGAGCAGGGGAAAUACUAAAAUAUUCCAUCAUCUGAUCCACAUGCGUGUGGAAGCCCUAGGCUUUGUUGUAGGAGCAAUGGCUGUUGUUGGUAUGGACUAUUCCAUGUAUCGGGAAUUCUAAGCAAAACCUGAGCCU
RNAcentral lists this long non-coding RNA (259 nucleotides) under Homo sapiens (human). Its description in RNAcentral is "non-protein coding lnc-CDK13-3:1". Lineage: Eukaryota; Metazoa; Chordata; Mammalia; Primates; Hominidae. The record is from RNAcentral.